GAUCAUGGCUCAGGAUGAACGCUAGCGACAGGCUUAACACAUGCAAGUCGAGAGGCAGCACAGGUAGCAAUACCGGGUGGCGACCGGCGCACGGGUGAGUAACGCGUAUGCAACUUACCUAUCAGAGGGGGAUAACCCGGCGAAAGUUGGACUAAUACCGCAUGAAGCAGGGGCCCCGCAUGGGGAUAUUUGCUAGAGAUUUAUCGCUGAUAGAUAGGCAUGCGUUCCA
This 229-nucleotide ribosomal RNA is filed under the name uncultured bacterium. RNAcentral describes it as "partial 16S ribosomal RNA". It matches the Rfam family "Bacterial small subunit ribosomal RNA", at positions 15 to 240 of the family's 1533-position model. The record is from RNAcentral.